RNAcentral lists this transfer RNA (74 nucleotides) under Saccharothrix sp. ALI-22-I. It matches the Rfam family "tRNA". Rfam says of the family: Transfer RNA (tRNA) molecules are approximately 80 nucleotides in length. The record is from Rfam by way of RNAcentral. Lineage: Bacteria; Bacillati; Actinomycetota; Actinomycetes; Pseudonocardiales; Pseudonocardiaceae.
GCGGUUCUAGCCCAAUAGGUAGAGGCGUCUGGUUGAGGGCCAGUCCAGUCGGGGUUCGACUCCCCGGAACCGCA